Molecule: ribosomal RNA, 492 nt
Filed under: uncultured bacterium
Lineage: Bacteria
Description: partial 16S ribosomal RNA
Rfam family: Bacterial small subunit ribosomal RNA
Source: RNAcentral
AGUGAACGCUGGCGGUAGACCUAACACAUGCAAGUCGAACGGCAGCACAGUAAGAGCUUGCUCUUACGGGUGGCGAGUGGCGGACGGGUGAGGAAUACAUCGGAAUCUACUUUUUCGUGGGGGAUAACGUAGGGAAACUUACGCUAAUACCGCAUACGACCUACGGGUGAAAGCAGGGGAUCUUCGGACCUUGCGCGAUUGAAUGAGCCGAUGUCGGAUUAGCUAGUUGGCGGGGUAAAGGCCCACCAAGGCGACGAUCCGUAGCUGGUCUGAGAGGAUGAUCAGCCACACUGGAACUGAGACACGGUCCAGACUCCUACGGGAGGCAGCAGUGGGGAAUAUUGGACAAUGGGCGCAAGCCUGAUCCAGCCAUACCGCGUGGGUGAAGAAGGCCUUCGGGUUGUAAAGCCCUUCUGUUGGGAAAGAAAAGCAGCAGGUUAAUACCCCGCUGUUCUGACGGUACCCAAAGAAUAAGCACCGGCUAACUUCGUG